UGGAAGAAUGAGCCCCAAGAGCAGCGGGGUGU
This 32-nucleotide non-coding RNA is filed under the name Rattus norvegicus (Norway rat). The record is from RNAcentral. Lineage: Eukaryota; Metazoa; Chordata; Mammalia; Rodentia; Muridae.